ACGGGACCCGCACAAGCGGUGGAUGAUGUGGUUUAAUUCGAUGCAACGCGAAAACCUUACCCACCUUUGACAUGUACGGAACCCUUUAGAGAUAGAGGGGUGCUCGAAAGAGAGCCGUAACACAGGUGCUGCAUGGCUGUCGUCAGCUCGUGUCGUGAGAUGUUGGGUUAAGUCCCGCAACGAGCGCAACCCUUGUCAUUAGUUGCUACAUUCAGUUGGGCACUCUAAUGAGACUGCCGGUGACAAGCCGGAGGAAGGUGGGGAUGACGUCAAGUCCUCAUGGCCCUUAUAGGUGGGGCUACACACGUCAUACAAUGGCUGGUACAAAGGGUUGCCAACCCGCGAGGGGGAGCCAAUCCCAUAAAGCCAGUCGUAGUCCGGAUCGUAGUCUGCAACUCGACUACGUGAAGUCGGAAUCGCUAGUAAUCGUGGAUCAGAAUGUCGCGGUGAAUACGUUCCCGGGCCUU
This 467-nucleotide ribosomal RNA is filed under the name uncultured Rhodoferax sp. Its description in RNAcentral is "bacterial SSU rRNA". It matches the Rfam family "Bacterial small subunit ribosomal RNA", at positions 916 to 1381 of the family's 1533-position model. Lineage: Bacteria; Pseudomonadati; Pseudomonadota; Betaproteobacteria; Burkholderiales; Comamonadaceae. The record is from RNAcentral.